GAGGGUAUAGCUCAAGCAGUAGAGUGCCUGCUUAGCAUGCAUGAGGUCCUGGGUUUAAUCCCCAGUACUUCCU
Molecule: transfer RNA, 73 nt
Filed under: Camelus bactrianus (Bactrian camel)
Lineage: Eukaryota; Metazoa; Chordata; Mammalia; Artiodactyla; Camelidae
Also listed under: 2 other names
Rfam family: tRNA
About the family: Transfer RNA (tRNA) molecules are approximately 80 nucleotides in length. Their secondary structure includes four short double-helical elements and three loops (D, anti-codon, and T loops). Further hydrogen bonds mediate the characteristic L-shaped molecular structure. tRNAs have two regions of fundamental functional importance: the anti-codon, which is responsible for specific mRNA codon recognition, and the 3' end, to which the tRNAs corresponding amino acid is attached (by aminoacyl-tRNA synthetases). tRNAs cope with the degeneracy of the genetic code in two manners: having more than one tRNA (with a specific anti-codon) for a particular amino acid; and 'wobble' base-pairing, i.e. permitting non-standard base-pairing at the 3rd anti-codon position.
Source: Rfam by way of RNAcentral